UUUCUGUGCUGUAAAACAUCUUCGGAGCCAUUGUUUCACGGCAUAUUUGCAAACGAAAAGUAAUUUGUGAAUAAAAAUUUUAUAUACGUGUUCUUAGCGAGAGGCUGAAAAAUAAACUUCGACGAAAAAACCUCAAAAUCAGCUUCAAAUUUAAGGUUGAAAAUUCAAAUUUUAGCUGAUGAGCAUAAGCGAAAAGAUGAGGCCCCUUGCGAAACACAUUAUUUAGGAUGUAGUACACAGUAACAACUGUGAUGGCAUGACUGUUACUAAACGCAAGCUGUUACCAUAUUUACCAUAUUAUCUCGCGGGACACAUCCACAGGCAUACCAUUGCAAUGGGUUGACUGUGGCUGGCGUGCAAACAACUGUUGCUGGUGCAACAGUUCUGGCACAGCAGUAUUAUCUGUGGUGCUUGCAAUGUGAGCCACAAUGGCAUGGCCAGAAGGAUGGUACCUAUAUAUUUUUGCUUGCUCCAAGCUAUUAAAAACUUUAAAUAAGCUGCUGUGUUUAUUCUGUGAUUGACUGAAUUGCUUUUGAGCUAUUUUUUUUAAUUAUUAAUUGCCUCACAUAUCAUGAGUAUUCUAUUUUUGUUUACUAUGUGAAGCAUAAAUCAAAUAGUUGGACAUUCUAUUUGUAUUACUCAGUUUUGUACAGA
Molecule: small RNA, 654 nt
Filed under: Oryza sativa Japonica Group (Japanese rice)
Lineage: Eukaryota; Viridiplantae; Streptophyta; Magnoliopsida; Poales; Poaceae
Description: sRNA Os02g0452601
Source: RNAcentral